Acanthaster planci (crown-of-thorns starfish) is the source of this 3039-nucleotide long non-coding RNA. The record is from RefSeq and is a predicted model, not a curated record. Lineage: Eukaryota; Metazoa; Echinodermata; Asteroidea; Valvatida; Acanthasteridae.
CACAUACUCUCGGUGACGUAAGCGUCUGCAUCCUACGGAAAGCAUCAUCCGAUGUACAGCGUAAGGAACUGGAGGCGCGUCAUUUUCGAAGCUGGGACGCUACAUCCAGGUGGAAUGAACAUGGAUGUUUCUGUGUUCAUUUAGAAGUGAAUCUGCUUGCCCUGACGAAGGUACCCAGUUACCGAAAGCUCGGCACUUACAUAAUUGAGAGCACUGAUUAUAUAUUAUAUUUUUAUCUAUAUUCUGAUCACGAUGCUACGCAGCCCUUUCAUAUUUUUCAGCCAAUAAUUAUGUCCACAGCGCAGAGUUGGUAUACUUAUGUAAACCUGACAGAUAAUAGAGUACCGAAGUGUGACGUCAUUGUGAACCAGAAAGUGCGGUACAAACAAAUAGAGUACGCGCACGUGUUGAUUCACGCGCUGGUUCUGGCUCUAAUGCCUUUUACACACUAAUUGUGCGCGUGACGUAUUCACUUCGGUACUCUAUACACGACUCUGUUACGGCUUUUCAUUUAGUAUCCAGUCCAGUGUCAAUAACAACAUGUUCACUUGUCGUUGACUUAGGUUUAUCAAGGACAACAUCAACUUUUCAUUGAACACAGACGACCCGACGGUCUUUGGGAAUACCAUCAAUGAUGAGUUUGAGAUUGCAAAGAAGUUCUGUGGACUGUCUGAUGAGCAGGCAAUACAAGUGACGUUGAAUGCAGCGCAUGCAUCCUUCCUGCCGAAGCAAGAAAAACUUGAGCUAAUUCAGCAGUUGAGGUCAGCCUACCAUGUCACUGAUUGAUUCAGAUCCAAGGUUAUUUGAUUCAGAUCAAGCAAUUUGAUACAGCAUGGGAAAAGUUCUUGACUAAUCCAGCAGUUUAGCCGCAGUUCGUGAUGUCGGCACAAUAACAAAAUAAUCGGAUUAGCAGCAACUACAAAAGAUAAAUGCAUUUCAUGUCCUUGUACAUUUACUGUUCGGUUUCACUGUACCUUAUUUUGAUUUUUAUUGUACCAGUUUUAAAGGUAUUUUGGUACCCUUUUGAUUUUUAUGCCAAUGCAAAUUUCCGUUCUUAUGCUUUAAGUACUUUAGGCUAUAAUUUCACCACAGUUUGCCAGAAUUUUGAGUUUUGUUCUGUCUUUAUUUGUUUGUUGGGGUGUUUGUUGGGUUGUUUGUUGGGUUGUUUGUUUUUUCGAUUUGUUGUUGCUUUAGUAUAUGGGACAGCAGGCUAUUUGACAAAGCUUCCUCACAAAAUAGUUUCGGUGAGCACGAACAGCACCCAAAAUGAACAACUGCUUCCUGUAAUGACAUUUCAGAAAUAGCGACGUCAUUCAUUGGGAAAACAUGGAAUAUGUUAAUAGGGACACUCAUUAUAAUAAGAUUGACCCAGAAGGGAUGUUCAAUCAUUUCUAUAUCAUCAUUGCAAACAUUUGAAAUAUGUAAAUUCUUACUAAAACUUUAUCUCAUGGGUCCAAGUUUUAAUAUUCUGAUGUCUAUUUGCUUGAUUACAACGCCAUGUCUGCAACAAUAAUUUUUAGCUAAUGUUUUUAAAGUUGUUGGCCAUCUACAGUUAUUUUAUUUCUGAUGACUCCGCCAGUUUCUUUUCCAAAUUUUCAAAGUUUAGUUUUCUUUACAAAAAGCAGAUGAAAACUAAUGUUUUCAUCAAUAUCGAUGUUGGCUUGAUGAUGUUCAUAAUGUAAACUGCUGUAUAUUACUGGUAGGCGUCGUAGUUCCGAACCUCAGCUUCAUUAUAGCUGUUAGUACUGUGUAAUAGCAUACAUCUGUGCCCAAAAGCGACUCUGAUGAGGUGGAUGAUGAGUUGUAGUGACGGCAUGUGUUGUUCGAUGUACUAAAUGUCAUUUCCAGUGUAUGAGAGGAGGCGUUGAGAUUUGGAUCGUUUUUGGACCAUUUCAAUGACAAAUUCCCUUACGUUAAAGCCGCUGAACAGAAUUAUUAUCGAUAAAAAAAGAUGGUUAAGAACUCAACAGCUAGUCAGGUAUCUCCUGUUUGCCUGUCAUUUACGACACCUCGAGCUUUUGUAGGGAAUAAUCUGUAGAAUGUUUGUGACAUCCUCUUUACAUCACUCUUGCAAAAAACGUAACAGAUUUAACUAAAACUACACAAGACGGUCUGUAUAGUAGAAAAUAGUAGAAAGUAGGAAAGUUAUUGUUUACAAAAAUGUGACUUUUUGUAUUGAUAAAUUGUGGUUAGGCUACGAAGAGAGAUGUGCGAAGCCACACGAUCAAUCGAGGUUAACAUCACCCGCACAGGUGUACGCUCAUAUAGAUUAAGAUUAUCCUUUUGGCUUUACAGUUAUUUAAAUAUGAACUCAAUGGGUUUAGACUGAAUCAUUCAAAAAACUCUUUUUGAGUAUUUUUGUAGAGUUUUCCAAGGUAUCAGUGUUUGUCAACAGUGGUGAAAUCAAACUAAACUUGUCUGCUGCAACAUGACUCUAAUUAAUACCAUAUGUGCGUUGCUUACAAACUAAUAAAGUUUUGUUUCAUUACCUGGCCUGCUUAAUCUUUGUCGUAGGCCAUUCUACAGGGUUCUUAUUACAAGGAGAUCUUUCUUCUGCGUUAGAUUUCCGGUCUUUGACUUUUCAUUCGUUACAAAGCCAUUCACAAAAUUCUUGAUAGGCUACUUUAGAACUUAUUGAGAGGCAUAAGGGUUUCAAAGACUUUUUCAAUUGGGGUGUUUCAAUCCAUUACAAAAAUUUCAAAGUAAAAAUUCAGCCAAGAAUUUAACAGAAAACACACGGAAUUCAAACGACCAUUUAAAAAGCUCAUGGGUGAUGAAAGCCUUGCAUGGGCAACUUGAGAUCACCGUGUGGCUUAGCGAGCAAAAGCUUCGGCGGUAGCGUCACGACGCACGCUGGACUGCUGCAGUGGACAUAACGCAGUAUGGUCUAGUGUUUUGUCAUCGACCAUGCAAUCAAAAGCAUUAGAUUUUUUUUAUUAAAAAUCUUUCUGCCCUAUUGUAAGACUUGACGUGAGAGGCACAAAUUGAGGUAAUGGACCAAGUUUCCCAAUUAAAGUAUUUUUCUGUCGUAAGAAACCA